GAUGAACGCUGGCGGCGUGCCUAAUACAUGCAAGUCGAGCGAACAGACGAGGAGCUUGCUCCUCUGACGUUAGCGGCGGACGGGUGAGUAACACGUGGAUAACCUACCUAUAAGACUGGGAUAACUUCGGGAAACCGGAGCUAAUACCGGAUAAUAUAUUGAACCGCAUGGUUCAAUAGUGAAAGACGGUUUUGCUGUCACUUAUAGAUGGAUCCGCGCCGCAUUAGCUAGUUGGUAAGGUAACGGCUUACCAAGGCAACGAUGCGUAGCCGACCUGAGAGGGUGAUCGGCUACACUGGAACUGAGACACGGUCCAGACUCCUACGGGAGGCAGCAGUAGGGAAUCUUCCGCAAUGGGCGAAAGCCUGACGGAGCAACGCCGCGUGAAUGAUGAAGGUCUUCGGAUCGUAAAACUCUGUUAUUAGGGAAGAACAAAUGUGUAAGUAACUAUGCACGUCUUGACGGUACCUAAUCAGAAAGCCACGGCUAACUACGUG
Molecule: ribosomal RNA, 497 nt
Filed under: uncultured bacterium
Lineage: Bacteria
Description: partial 16S ribosomal RNA
Rfam family: Bacterial small subunit ribosomal RNA
Source: RNAcentral